ACUAUACAUGCAAGUCGAACGAACUCUGGUAUUGAUUGGUGCUUGCAUCAUGAUUUACAUUUGAGUGAGUGGCGAACUGGUGAGUAACACGUGGGAAACCUGCCCAGAAGCGGGGGAUAACACCUGGAAACAGAUGCUAAUACCGCAUAACAACUUGGACCGCAUGGUCCGAGUUUGAAAGAUGGCUUCGGCUAUCACUUUUGGAUGGUCCCGCGGCGUAUUAGCUAGAUGGUGGGGUAACGGCUCACCAUGGCAAUGAUACGUAGCCGACCUGAGAGGGUAAUCGGCCACAUUGGGACUGAGACACGGCCCAAACUCCUACGGGAGGCAGCAGUAGGGAAUCUUCCACAAUGGACGAAAGUCUGAUGGAGCAACGCCGCGUGAGUGAAGAAGGGUUUCGGCUCGUAAAACUCUGUUGUUAAAGAAGAACAUAUCUGAGAGUAACUGUUCAGGUAUUGACGGUAUUUAACCAGAAAGCCACGGCUAACUACGUGCCAGCAGCCGCGGUAAUACGUAGGUGGCAAGCGUUGUCCGGAUUUAUUGGGCGUAAAGCGAGCGCAGGCGGUUUUUUAAGUCUGAUGUGAAAGCCUUCGGCUCAACCGAAGAAGUGCAUCGGAAACUGGGAAACUUGAGUGCAGAAGAGGACAGUGGAACUCCAUGUGUAGCGGUGAAAUGCGUAGAUAUAUGGAAGAACACCAGUGGCGAAGGCGGCUGUCUGGUCUGUAACUGACGCUGAGGCUCGAAAGUAUGGGUAGCAAACAGGAUUAGAUACCCUGGUAGUCCAUACCGUAAACGAUGAAUGCUAAGUGUUGGAGGGUUUCCGCCCUUCAGUGCUGCAGC
Molecule: ribosomal RNA, 840 nt
Filed under: Lactiplantibacillus plantarum
Lineage: Bacteria; Bacillati; Bacillota; Bacilli; Lactobacillales; Lactobacillaceae
Description: bacterial SSU rRNA
Rfam family: Bacterial small subunit ribosomal RNA
Source: RNAcentral